GACGAACGCUGGCGGCGUGCCUAAUACAUGCAAGUCGAACGAGUGGCGGACGGGUGAGUAACACGUGGGAACCUACCCAUCAGAGGGGGAUAACUACGGGACACUGUAGCUAAUACCGCGUACCAUAGGAUGAGCCCAAGUGGGAUUAGGUAGUUGGUGAGGUAAAGGAUCACCAAGCCGACGAUCUCUAGCUGGUCUGAGAGGAUGCCCGGCCACCCUGGGACUGAGACACGGCCCAGCCUCCUCCGGGAGGCAGCAGUGGGGAAUAUUGCGCAAUGGGGGCACCCUGACGCAGCCAUGCCGCGUGAAUGAAGAAGGUCUUCGAGUUGUAAAGUUCUUUCGGUAGCGAGGCGUUAACUACAGAGGAAGCACCGGCUAACUCCGUGCCAGCAGCCGCGGUAAUUC
RNAcentral lists this ribosomal RNA (405 nucleotides) under uncultured bacterium. Its description in RNAcentral is "partial 16S ribosomal RNA". It matches the Rfam family "Bacterial small subunit ribosomal RNA", at positions 28 to 526 of the family's 1533-position model. The record is from RNAcentral.